Molecule: long non-coding RNA, 1178 nt
Filed under: Chlamydomonas reinhardtii
Lineage: Eukaryota; Viridiplantae; Chlorophyta; Chlorophyceae; Chlamydomonadales; Chlamydomonadaceae
Description: long non-coding RNA (CREI_LNC000509)
Source: RNAcentral
GACGACGCAUCGACAUCGUCAGGGUAUCAGGACCAGGGCCCGCUCGCUCGCCUGCUGAGCAAGCUGAGGCAGUUCAAGGCUCUUGCUGCUGACAAGGACCUGGCUAACAGCGAGCUAGCGCCUCUUAUUCGGGCGCUGCCGCUCGAUACGGUGAGGACUUGCCGGAAGCGCUCGUCUGCUGGUUUUGCUUAGUAACAUUUUGGUUCACAAGCGUGCUGCGGCAUGGUGCAUUCACCGGGAGUGGCUGGGGGUCGCUGUCUUGGGGCUGGCUGUCGUAGCUUGCACACGCGUAAACAAGCGGCAAGGGCAGCGCGACAUGCACCUAGGCUCUUUUGCUCGCCAAGGCGUACACAGUUGACCGGGGAGCAGGCCUAGGCCUGGUUGCUGGCGGGGUUCCUGGUGCGGCAGAUGAACAUCGCCACUGUCGGAGUGCGCGCUGCUGGUUCGGGGCCGCAUGUGCGUGCCUUUGCCUUUUCGUCACGGUCUUGUUAAAAUGUGGGGGUGGCAUAGACUGCGCGCUAGCGCUUGGCCUGCCAGCGCGCUGCUGUCGCCAGCCGACUGGAAGUGCACCGGCGUUUACUCGCUAAAACGAGUCGCGCGGAAUUAGAUCGCUCAGUUGCUCAUGGACGUCUGCAAAGCGCUUGCGCGUACGCCCCGGGGUGCGGUCGGUGCGGCAAACGUUUCGACCUGCACCUGGAGCGCUUUCUCUGCACUUUUGCGGAGCCACGACCGCCUGCCCUCGCUUCCCGCAUUGGCGCGGUUUCGGGUGACGUUCAUACCAUUGUGGUGCAAACCGCCGCGGCAGGACGCCUUGAAUCGAUUCGCGUCACAGGAGAUAUCGACAGGAGGGCGGUUGGUCCGGCCCUAGAGCACCACUCCAGUUCCUCCUCGAACCCUUCCCGCCAGCCCGACCACCGUAUCGCCGUCCCGUAACGCCCAACGGCAUCCCUUAGAUUCCAUGUGCUCAGCUAGCCUGCUGCCUUCCCUGCACGUGGUACUGCCUUGCCCACAGGAGCUACAGCAGCUGCUGGCCAAGUUCCACUGGUAUCCCGGCCACAACUUCACAACCACAGUGGACCUGGCUAAUCUCAAAGGCGCGCUUCAGAAGUACAAGUACAUCAAGAUCGGUCAGCUGGGCAGUGGCUCAUAUGGCGUUGUGCACAAAGCCAUCAACCGGG